Molecule: non-coding RNA, 25 nt
Filed under: Rattus norvegicus (Norway rat)
Lineage: Eukaryota; Metazoa; Chordata; Mammalia; Rodentia; Muridae
Source: RNAcentral
UGCACCCUGGGCCUGUGCGCUCCUC